ACUGAACCACUCAGGUGCCCCUUGCUGAUCAAUAUUUAAAUGGAUUUCAGUUAUAAAGGAAAAAAGUUAAGGCAGUAAAAAUAAAAUCGAUGUACGGUUCUAAGGCCCAUCACUGAACCGUGAGGGGAGACAGAAUGCUGUGGAUGCCCCCUCCGCCUCCCUCCCAC
This is a long non-coding RNA of Herpailurus yagouaroundi (jaguarundi), 167 nucleotides long. RefSeq lists it as uncharacterized. NCBI's taxonomy places the organism in Eukaryota, Metazoa, Chordata, Mammalia, Carnivora, Felidae. The record is from RefSeq and is a predicted model, not a curated record. The transcript is spliced from 3 exons.